RNAcentral lists this unclassified non-coding RNA (227 nucleotides) under Hevea brasiliensis (rubber tree). The record is from RNAcentral. Lineage: Eukaryota; Viridiplantae; Streptophyta; Magnoliopsida; Malpighiales; Euphorbiaceae.
GAGUCGUGAAUAUUCUGAUAAAGAAUAUUCAAACAGGGACAGAGAUAGGGAUCGGGAUCCCCAUGGAAGAGACCGGGAAAGGGGCAGUGAUCGUGAUCGAGAUCGAGAUAGGUACCGUGAACGAGACCGGGAUAGGGACCUUGAACGAGACCGGCGCCAGGACAGGGACAGAGACCGAAGGUAUGAUUAUGAUCGGAGGUCCGGGUAUUCUGAGAGAGAAAGCAGAA